UAAUAAAAGUGUUUUAUGGCACUUUUCAAAACAAUCCAUAUCACCCUUGUGUGCAAUUGUUUUUUUUUUUUAAAUAAACACUUUAUUUUUUAAUUGCCCAAUUUAUCUGAAGAUCAGUAUUAUUAUGAAUUAACUUAUUCAAAAUA
This 146-nucleotide unclassified non-coding RNA is filed under the name soil metagenome. Its description in RNAcentral is "partial internal transcribed spacer 1". The record is from RNAcentral.